Molecule: long non-coding RNA, 1171 nt
Filed under: Homo sapiens (human)
Lineage: Eukaryota; Metazoa; Chordata; Mammalia; Primates; Hominidae
Description: HSALNT0354899
Source: RNAcentral
AGAGUACCCCUCGCCUCCCAGUACCCCAACAUGGUAGGGAAGGAGAUUCUUUUUAAUUUUUUUGAGACAGAGUUUCGCUCUUGUCGCCCAGGCUGGAGUGCAGUGGCGCAAUCUCGGCUCACUGCAACCUCCGCCUCCCUGGUUCAAGUGAUUCUCCUGCCUCAGCCUCUCAAGUAGCUGGGAUUACAGGUGUCUGCCACCACACCCGGCUAAUUUUUGUAUUUUUUAGUAGAGACAGGGUUUCACCAUGUUGGCCGGGCUGGUCUUGAACUCCUGACCUCAGGUGAUCCACCUGCCUCAGCCUCCCAGAGUGCUGGGAUUACAGGCAUGAGCCACCGCACCCGGGUGGGCCACAGCGCCCAGCCAGGAAAGGAGAUUAUUGACUAAUACUUCCAUGGCCUUGGGGGCCCAGCUAUCUGGCAAAGCACAGCCCUGCCAUCUCCCUAGAAUCAUCCAUGUUGAAUAGAACCACCUUGACAAUCCACUUACUGGUGGUGACAUUCUAAAGGGCAGUUGCUAAGUUGCUUUCCAAGAGGCUGGGCCCUGCUGACCAGAGGGCCCCAGUCUUCUCUGAGCACAUGAUAUACGACUUGCUCUGAUAUCCUCUCAGGUUCUGCCUGUGAAGCAGCUCAAACCAAGACAACAGGUCCAGUGCUUGGCAGGACCAUGACUGGUGCACUGUCUUCUUGGUCAUGCUCUGAUUGGAGGAUUAUCCUUGGCCGGUGGUUCUCACCAGGAAAAGUGUGCUCUCCUGGGUCCCCUGCAAACCAACAAGGUGCCCGAAGAUGGUGUAAAAACACAGAUUUGUCCCACCUGGUUUCACCCCACUUUCCUCUCUGGUCCCAGGCCUCAGGGUCUGGACAUUUCUGCCAGGGAACAUCUGUUCUGCAGAGCAGCCAGGACUCCCCCUGCCACCCCCCACCAAGGAGUGGUUCUAAGUUAGCUUUCUCAUAAACGGUUCUCACAUGGAAGAAAAGCAGCUGUCGCUGAAGCCACGUCAAUCUGAGCGGUAAAAGGUUUGGGCAAAAACAUAUUUUAUUGUUCUUGCUGUCAGAAACAUAAAGAUUGAAGGGGCAUGUGACUCGGUAAUUGCUGUGGACUUUUUUUCCCCCUUGACAAUAAACAUAAAACUUAAAACUGUAUUAAAAUCAUUUGACAAUUUUUAUGCUCA